UGCAAGUCGAGCGGUAGAGAGAAGCUUGCUUCUCUUGAGAGCGGCGGACGGGUGAGUAAUGCCUAGGAAUCUGCCUGGUAGUGGGGGAUAACGUUCGGAAACGGACGCUAAUACCGCAUACGUCCUACGGGAGAAAGCAGGGGACCUUCGGGCCUUGCGCUAUCAGAUGAGCCUAGGUCGGAUUAGCUAGUUGGUGGGGUAAUGGCUCACCAAGGCGACGAUCCGUAACUGGUCUGAGAGGAUGAUCAGUCACACUGGAACUGAGACACGGUCCAGACUCCUACGGGAGGCAGCAGUGGGGAAUAUUGGACAAUGGGCGAAAGCCUGAUCCAGCCAUGCCGCGUGUGUGAAGAAGGUCUUCGGAUUGUAAAGCACUUUAAGUUGGGAGGAAGGGUUGUAGAUUAAUACUCUGCAAUUUUGACGUUACCGACAGAAUAAGCACCGGCUAACUCUGUGCCAGCAGCCGCGGUAAUACAGAGGGUGCAAGCGUUAAUCGGAAUUACUGGGCGUAAAGCGCGCGUAGGUGGUUUGUUAAGUUGGAUGUGAAAUCCCCGGGCUCAACCUGGGAACUGCAUUCAAAACUGACUGACUAGAGUAUGGUAGAGGGUGGUGGAAUU
RNAcentral lists this ribosomal RNA (617 nucleotides) under Pseudomonas sp. LS45. Its description in RNAcentral is "bacterial SSU rRNA". It matches the Rfam family "Bacterial small subunit ribosomal RNA", at positions 56 to 668 of the family's 1533-position model. Lineage: Bacteria; Pseudomonadati; Pseudomonadota; Gammaproteobacteria; Pseudomonadales; Pseudomonadaceae. The record is from RNAcentral.